This 513-nucleotide ribosomal RNA is filed under the name uncultured Planctomycetota bacterium. RNAcentral's name for it is "bacterial SSU rRNA". It matches the Rfam family "Bacterial small subunit ribosomal RNA", at positions 386 to 896 of the family's 1533-position model. The record is from RNAcentral. Lineage: Bacteria; Pseudomonadati; Planctomycetota.
ACCGAGCGACGCCGCGUGUGGGAUGAAGGCCCUCGGGUUGUAAACCACUGGUCGUAGGGGAGGAAGGCUCCGUGAAGAGCGGAGUUUGACCUAUCCUAGGAGGAAGGCCGGGCUAAGUUCGUGCCAGCAGCCGCGGUAAGACGAACCGGCCAAACGUUAUUCGGAAUUAUUGGGCUUAAAGGGUGCGUAGGCGGUGCGGUCAGUCGGGUGUGAAAUCCCUCGGCUCAACCGAGGAAUUGCGCCCGAUACUACCGUGCUUGAGGGAGACAGAGGUGAGCGGAACUGAUGGUGGAGCGGUGAAAUGCGUUGAUAUCAUCAGGAACACCAGUGGCGAAAGCGGCUCGCUGGGUCUCUUCUGACGCUGAGGCACGAAAGCUAGGGUAGCGAACGGGAUUAGAUACCCCGGUAGUCCUAGCCGUAAACGAUGAGCACUUGACUGAGGAUCCCCCCAUAGGUUCUUGGUCGAAGCGAAAGUGAUAAGUGCUCCGCCUGGGGAGUAUGGUCGCAAGGCUG